GAUGAACGCUAGCUACAGGCUUAACACAUGCAAGUCGAGGGGAAACGACAUCGAAAGCUUGCUUUUGAUGGGCGUCGACCGGCGCACGGGUGAGUAACGCGUAUCCAACCUGCCCACCACUUGGGGAUAACCUUGCGAAAGUAAGACUAAUACCCAAUGACGUCUCUAGAAGGCAUCUGAAAGGGAUUAAAGAUUUAUCGGUGAUGGAUGGGGAUGCGUCUGAUUAGCUUGUUGGCGGGGUAACGGCCCACCAAGGCAACGAUCAGUAGGGGUUCUGAGAGGAAGGUCCCCCACAUUGGAACUGAGACACGGUCCAAACUCCUACGGGAGGCAGCAGUGAGGAAUAUUGGUCAAUGGGCGAGAGCCUGAACCAGCCAAGUAGCGUGCAGGACGACGGCCCUAUGGGUUGUAAACUGCUUUAUAAGGGAAUAAAGUGAGUCUCGUGAGACUUUUUGCAUGUACUUUAUGAAUAAGGACCGGCUAAUUCCGUG
Molecule: ribosomal RNA, 491 nt
Filed under: uncultured bacterium
Lineage: Bacteria
Description: bacterial SSU rRNA
Rfam family: Bacterial small subunit ribosomal RNA
Source: RNAcentral